GAGAGGGAGAGAGGGAUAGAGGGAGAGAGGGAGAGAGGGAUAGAGAGGUAGAGGGAGAGAGGGAGAGAGGGAUAGAGAGGUAGAGGGAUAGAGAGGUAGAGGGAGAGAGGGAGAGAGGGAUAGAGAGGUAGAGGGAUAGAGAGUUAGAGGGAGAGAGGGAUAGAGAGGUAGAGGGAUAGAGAGGUAGAGGGAGAGAGGGAGAGAGGGAUAGAGAGGUAGAGGGAGAGAGGGAUAGAGAGGUAGAGGGAGAGAGGGAGAGAGGGAGAGAGGGAUAGAGAGGUAGAGGGAGAGAGGGAGAGAGGGAUAGAGAGGUAGAGGGAGAGAAGGAGAGAGGGAUAGAGAGGUAGAGGGAGAGAGGGAGAGAGGGAUAGAGAGGUAGAGGGAGAGAGGGAGAGAGGGAUAGAGAGGUAGAGGGAGAGAGGGAGAGAGGGAUAGAGAGAUAGAGGGAGAGAGGGAGAGAGGGAUAGAGAGGUAGAGGGAGAUAGGGAGAGAGGUAGAGGGAUAGAGAGGGAUAGAGAGGUAGAGAGAGAGAGGUAGAGGGAUAGAGAGGUAGAGGGAUAGAGAGGGAU
Oncorhynchus tshawytscha (Chinook salmon) is the source of this 569-nucleotide long non-coding RNA. The record is from Ensembl. NCBI's taxonomy places the organism in Eukaryota, Metazoa, Chordata, Actinopteri, Salmoniformes, Salmonidae.